Molecule: ribosomal RNA, 119 nt
Organism: Pteropus vampyrus (large flying fox)
Lineage: Eukaryota; Metazoa; Chordata; Mammalia; Chiroptera; Pteropodidae
Source: Ensembl
GUCUACGGCCACACCACCCUGAACGUGCCCGAUGCCGUCUGACCUUGGAAGCUGAGCAGGGUCGGGCCUGGUCAGUAUUUGGAUGGGAGACCACCUAGGAAGACCAGGUGCCGUAGGCU